CAUGCAAGUCGAACGCGAAAGCCCGCAAGGCUAGUUGCUACGCACGGGUGAGUAACACGUGGACAACCUGCUAGAGUGGGGAAUAACCUUCCGAAAGGAGGGCUAAUACCGCAUAACACCUCGGAGCACAAGUUCUGGGGUUGAAAACUCGCAGUAUGCUCGAAGAGGGGUCCGCGCCUGAUUAGCUAGUUGGUGAGGUAAUGGCUCACCAAGGCUUCGAUCAGUAGCCGUCCUGAGAGGGAGCACGGCCACACUGGAACCGAGACACGGUCCAGACUCCUACGGGAGGCAGCAGUGGGGAAUUUUUGGCAAUGGGC
RNAcentral lists this ribosomal RNA (317 nucleotides) under uncultured Acidobacteriota bacterium. RNAcentral describes it as "bacterial SSU rRNA". It matches the Rfam family "Bacterial small subunit ribosomal RNA", at positions 54 to 376 of the family's 1533-position model. Lineage: Bacteria; Pseudomonadati; Acidobacteriota. The record is from RNAcentral.